CGAGCGAACGGACGAGAAGCUUGCUUCUCUGAUGUUAGCGGCGGACGGGUGAGUAACACGUGGAUAACCUACCUAUAAGACUGGGAUAACUUCGGGAAACCGGAGCUAAUACCGGAUAAUAUUUUGAACCGCAUGGUUCAAAAGUGAAAGACGGUCUUGCUGUCACUUAUAGAUGGAUCCGCGCUGCAUUAGCUAGUUGGUAAGGUAACGGCUUACCAAGGCAACGAUGCAUAGCCGACCUGAGAGGGUGAUCGGCCACACUGGAACUGAGACACGGUCCAGACUCCUACGGGAGGCAGCAGUAGGGAAUCUUCCGCAAUGGGCGAAAGCCUGACGGAGCAACGCCGCGUGAGUGAUGAAGGUCUUCGGAUCGUAAAACUCUGUUAUUAGGGAAGAACAUAUGUGUAAGUAACUGUGCACAUCUUGACAGUACCUAAUCAGAAAGCCACGGCUAACUACGUGCCAGCAGCCGCGGUAAUACGUAGGUGGCAAGCGUUAUCCGGAAUUAUUGGGCGUAAAGCGCGCGUAGGCGGUUUUUUAAGUCUGAUGUGAAAGCCCACGGCUCAACCGUGGAGGGUCAUUGGAAACUGGAAAACUUGAGUGCAGAAGAGGAAAGUGGAAUUCCAUGUGUAGCGGUGAAAUGCGCAGAGAUAUGGAGGAACACCAG
Molecule: ribosomal RNA, 667 nt
Filed under: uncultured Staphylococcus sp.
Lineage: Bacteria; Bacillati; Bacillota; Bacilli; Caryophanales; Staphylococcaceae
Description: bacterial SSU rRNA
Rfam family: Bacterial small subunit ribosomal RNA
Source: RNAcentral